Molecule: long non-coding RNA, 242 nt
Filed under: Elaeis guineensis (African oil palm)
Lineage: Eukaryota; Viridiplantae; Streptophyta; Magnoliopsida; Arecales; Arecaceae
Description: long non-coding RNA (EGUI_LNC013054)
Source: RNAcentral
ACAUGAGUUAUGGGUUCUAGGGUUUCAUCUCUAGAUUUUGUGAGAAGAAAAAUACAAGAGUGAGUCUUGUCCAAUCUUCCACACCACCAUCUUCUUGUAAAGCUUCAUCUUGUGAUCUAGAAAAAUCCAGGAGAUUCAAAGAAAGGAGCUUGGAUCAGCUAUCCAGAGCCUUCGAUCCGAGCUAGCACUCCCGUAAAGGAAGAUCCAAUCAGAGCUUUGAGUGGAUGAUCUGUAGAGGUUGG